RNAcentral lists this long non-coding RNA (293 nucleotides) under Phoenix dactylifera (date palm). RNAcentral describes it as "long non-coding RNA (PDAC_LNC015369)". The record is from RNAcentral. Lineage: Eukaryota; Viridiplantae; Streptophyta; Magnoliopsida; Arecales; Arecaceae.
GUUGCUGGUGGUCCAAACCGAGAACGAUUGGCACUGCGGUGUGAACGGGGUUCCGUCUGAGUUGUCUUGGUUGGUGUUGGUUGCGCUCCACCUUUCGCCAAGAAACCUGCAAACAAGCUUUGCACCACCACCAGGGUGGUGAUGGCCCUCCGACGGUCAAGUCAGAGGAGAUUGGAGGAGGAGGAGAGGUGAUAAUCGCAAGUAAGAGAGUGCUCUGGGAGAUAUUGCUCACCCCCCCCCUUUUCUCCCCCCAGCCGCAUAUAUACCUGGCUGGGGGGUCUCUCAGGGGGGUU